RNAcentral lists this ribosomal RNA (1482 nucleotides) under metagenome. RNAcentral's name for it is "bacterial SSU rRNA". It matches the Rfam family "Bacterial small subunit ribosomal RNA". The record is from RNAcentral.
UAGUAGUUAGGGAGUUGUAGUUGGUAGCUUGCUAUCAGCUGCAAUUUUUUGGCUAUUUUCUGAACUGAGUGGCAAACGGGUGAGUAAUACAUGAACAAUCUGCCUUUAAGAGGGAAAUAACCUCGAGAAAUCGUGGCUAAUGUCCCAUAUUGUUGCGUGAGGGAGUCCUCGUGCAAUGAAAGGGUUACUUUGUAAUCGCUUAGAGAUGAGUUCGUGUCCCAUCAGCUAGUUGGCAGGGUAAAAGCCUACCAAGGCUCAGACGGGUAGCUGGUUUGAAAGAACGGUCAGCCACAGUGGCACUGAGACACGGGCCACACUCCUACGGGAGGCAGCAGUGGGGAAUAUUGGACAAUGGACGCAAGUCUGAUCCAGCGACACCGCGCGGAGGAUGAAGGUCUUCGGAUUGUAAACUCCUUUCGGAGGUGAUGAAGUCUUGGUGAACCCAAGAUUGACAGUAAUCUCAGAAGAAGUCACGGCUAACUACGUGCCAGCAGCCGCGGUAAUACGUAGGUGGCAAGCGUUACUCGGAAUUACUAGGUGUAAAGCGCGAGUAGGUGGUUCGGUAAGUUGGGAGUUAAAGCUCCGAUAAAAUCGGAGAGGUCUUCUAAUACUGCCGAACUUGAGUGUAGCAUGGGAAACUGGAAUUCACGGUGUAGCGGUGAAAUGCGUAAAUAUCGUGAGGAAUACCUAUGGCGAAGGCGAGUUUCUGGGCUACUACUGACACUGAGCAGCGAAGACGUGGGGAGCAAACAGGAUUAGAUACCCUGGUAGUCCACGUAGUAAACGAUGGUAACUAGAUAUAGGAGGUAUCGACCCCUUCUGUGUCGAAGCUAACGCAUUAAGUUACCCACCUGGGAAGUACGGCCGCAAGGUUGAAACUCAAAAGAAUUGACGGGGGCCCGCACAAGCGGUGGAGCAUGUGGUUUAAUUCGACACAACGCGAAAAACCUUACCUGGGCUUGAAGUGGCGGUUGUACCGAGAUGAAAGUCAAGGGACCCGCAAGGGAGCCGGUAGAGGUGCUGCAUGGUUGUCGUCAGCUCGUGUCGUGAGAUGUAUGGUUAAGUCCCAUAACGAGCGCAACCCUUGCCUUAUGUUGCUAACCUGGAAACAGGAGCACUCUUAAGGGACCGCUCCGGUCAACGGAGAGGAAGGUGGGAUGACGUCAAAUCAUCAUGGCCUUUAUGUCCAGGGCUACACACGUGCUACAAUGGCCAUUACAAUGGGAAACCAACCCGCAAGGGGGAGUAAACCCCAAAAAAAUGGCCCCAGUUCAGAUCGAGGGCUGAAACUCGCCCUCGUGAAGGCGGAAUCGCUAGUAAUCGCUAAUCAGCAGGUAGCGGUGAAUACGUUCCCGGGCCUUGUACACACCGCCCGUCACACCAUGGGAGCUAACGGUAACCGAACCUCGAUGUUAGAUUGAGGGAAGUUAUGGCUAGUGACUGGGGUGAAGUCGGAACAAGGUAGGCGUACGGGAACGUGCG